GACGAACCGUGCAAACGUUAUUCGGAAUCACUGGGCUUAAAGGGCGCGUAGGCGGGUGAUCAAGUCAAUGGUGAAAUCCUCCAGCUUAACUGGAGAAGUGCCUUUGAUACUGAUUGUCUAGAGGGAGGUAGGGGCAUGUGGAACUUCAGGUGGAGCGGUGAAAUGCGUAGAUAUCUGAAGGAACGCCAGUGGCGAAAGCGAUGUGCUGGACCUCUUCUGACGCUGAGGCGCGAAAGCUAGGGGAUCAAACGGGAUUAGAUACCCCGGUAGUCCUAGCCCUAAACUAUGGGUACUAGAUUGUGGACUUUCAUGGGUUCACAGUCGAAGCAAAAGUGUUAAGUACCCCGCCUGGGGAGUAUGGUCGCAAGGCUG
RNAcentral lists this ribosomal RNA (372 nucleotides) under uncultured prokaryote. RNAcentral's name for it is "bacterial SSU rRNA". It matches the Rfam family "Bacterial small subunit ribosomal RNA", at positions 524 to 896 of the family's 1533-position model. The record is from RNAcentral.